RNAcentral lists this ribosomal RNA (453 nucleotides) under uncultured bacterium. RNAcentral describes it as "bacterial SSU rRNA". It matches the Rfam family "Bacterial small subunit ribosomal RNA", at positions 1 to 475 of the family's 1533-position model. The record is from RNAcentral.
UGAGUUUGAUCAUGGCUCAGGACGAACGCUGGCGGCAUGGAUUAGGCAUGCAAGUCGAACGAAAAUCAGGAGCUUGCUCCUGUGGACGAGUGGCGAAAGGGUGAGUNGCGCGUGAGCAACCUGCCCUCAAGUUUGGAAUAACUCCUGGAAACGGGAGCUAAUACCGGAUGUGGAUAUAUUUCCGCCUGGGGAUUUAUCUAAAGAUUUAUUGCUUGAGGAUGGGCUCGCGUACCAUUAGCUUGUUGGUGUGGUAACGGCAUACCAAGGCGACGAUGGUUAAGUGGACUGAGAGGUCGGCCACCCACACUGGGACUGAGACACUGCCCAGACUCCUACGGGAGGCUGCAGUCGAGAAUCUUCCGCAAUGCGCGAAAGCGUGACGGAGCAAUGCCGCGUGGCCGAUGAGGGCCUUCGGGUCGUAAAGGCCUGUCACAUGGGACGAAAAUUUGACGG